UCUAUUCUUUAAUCAGAUUUGUUUCCUUAUAGAAUCUUAAAAGUCCUUUGUUCAGAUUGAAUAAUAAUCUUUAUCAGAUUUUUUUUUUUUUUUUGCAAAUAUUUUCUGCAAGACUGUGGCUUGUCUUCUCAAUCUCUUGACAGUAUCUGUUGCAGGGCAGAAGGUUUUGAAUCUUACUGAAGUCCAGCUCUUUCAUGAAUCGUGCCUUUAGUGGAGCUCCAUAGUAGACCUUUUCUGUUGGCUCUGCACUGAGGAAGGUGUAACCCCUGCCACAGUGUCUUCACCUGUAACAUCAGGACAAUAAUGAUGCCAUGAGGUGGACGUGAGGACCAGAGUUGACACAGUAAUGACGUAUCAGUGAUGACUUGGUGCCUUUGACCUUUGACCUUUGGCCUGUCUCCUUUGCUCCCUCUCUGGUCUCCUGGAAUGCUGGAAUCCGGUCCCUACCGUUUUUUGGUCUGUGUGGCCUUGACGUUGCUGCGUAUCAUGUCUCCUCAUCAGAGUGACCUUGAAUCUGACCUGUGGCUCUCUUGCUCCAAGGACCUCUGUGUGCCACUGUCUCGUCUGUCCAACCUCUUCCCAGAGCAGCCUCAGCACGUGCUGGAGCAGCCAUGCAAAGGAGGCUGGAGUUGAUGGAGCUCCCACCAAGUGGCCAGGGCUUUUGAUUCUCAUGUCCUUGCAUUUUAUUCACUGCUGAUCCCAGAGCCCAGAAUGGUGCCCAGCACGUAGCUGGUGUCCAACAAGUAUUUGCCAGAUGCACAAUGAGUGAGUGAGAACAAUGAAAGACGCGUCCCCAAACCGUUAAAGCCUGGUCCGUGGGAACGAUUUUGGAAGACCUGAGUUUUCCCAACUCCAUCCUGGAAACCUCUGUUCCAGCUUCCCGCUCUGGGGCAUCCAGGUGUCUCUCCAGUAGCAGGGGUUUCCCAGCCACUGUGAUGGUGAAAUACAGCCGCUCUGCUUCACAGCGGGGAUGUGUGCUGAGACCUGCGUCACGAGGUGGUCCAUCACGAUGAAAACACUGAGGGUUGGAGAAGUUAAGAUUGGAGCCCAGGAUCCUCGGACAAUGAAUGGUGGUGCUGAGAUUCGAGCCAGCUCCAAGAAACCCCGAGAGUCCACAGUCACCCAAGCCCCACCCUCCAGCAGCUCCUCGAAGAUGGGGACCCUUCAGUGCCCAGGGCCCACAAACCAGGGCUCCUAUGCUCCUGCCUGUGGGUUCAAAGAAAAUAACCCCAGCCUAAAAUAGGUGAAAACAUAAAAGCAAAAGGCACCCAGUUAAUGAUGCAGGUUAACCAUGCAUCUGUAAGGCAAAAGCAAAUCCAAAAUGUUACAAAGUCCAAAGCUCUUUAAGUGCUGACCAGAUGCCACAGGUUCAGAGGCCACACCUUGAAAGUCCCAGUCAUCCACAAAAUUAUUAACAACCAUGUAUAAAAUCACCUUUGGUCCACGUGUAUGAGGCAUCCA
Molecule: long non-coding RNA, 1461 nt
Organism: Marmota flaviventris (yellow-bellied marmot)
Lineage: Eukaryota; Metazoa; Chordata; Mammalia; Rodentia; Sciuridae
Source: RefSeq, a predicted model, not a curated record